ACUUUGAGACAAGGUCCUA
This 19-nucleotide small nuclear RNA is filed under the name Arabidopsis thaliana (thale cress). Its description in RNAcentral is "snRNA_14543". The record is from RNAcentral. Lineage: Eukaryota; Viridiplantae; Streptophyta; Magnoliopsida; Brassicales; Brassicaceae.